AUGUGUGUUGAUUUGAUUUGUGCCAUAGGAUGAAUAAAUCAAUCCUCCAUCAUAAGGAGUCCACAUUAUAUGAACUUGUUUCAUAGGCGCAAACCUACCCUUGAGCUGCUUAUUAUAUGUCUAAAAUUCUUUUGUAUGAUAGACUUGUAAUAACUAAUUGAUCAAAAACCAUGGUCAUUUAUUUAUUUAUUCAUUUAUUUGUUUGUUUUCACUCUUCGCCUUCAUGUGUUCAUGAAAUUACAGUCUCACACUCUAAUGAUGGAUGACAGCAGUCCCUUGAUCUAAUUGAAGAUUUUUUUAAGAAUAUAAUUCAUGUAAUUUUAUGUAUUUUCCAUUCCUAGAGUAGCAUGUACGUCUAUCCUGGACACUUUUUUUUCCCUCUAGGAAUUGCAUCUCUAUUGUUUAUCUUUCUCAAAGUAAGAAUUCAUCUAGUUGGAUUCUCUCUCUCCUCUCUCUCCCUCUCUCUUUUUCCUUGGGAGGGGGUGGUGAAUUCAGGUAUAAAUGUUUGUUUAAAAGUGAACAUAAUUAUAGCAAGUCAAGUUGGACAAAUAUUCAACAUCAAGCCUCACAAAUGGAACUGUUCUCAUGGUUUAAUACAUGGUAAUGGC
RNAcentral lists this long non-coding RNA (608 nucleotides) under Elaeis guineensis (African oil palm). Its description in RNAcentral is "long non-coding RNA (EGUI_LNC027417)". Lineage: Eukaryota; Viridiplantae; Streptophyta; Magnoliopsida; Arecales; Arecaceae. The record is from RNAcentral.